Aquila chrysaetos chrysaetos is the source of this 507-nucleotide long non-coding RNA. RefSeq lists it as uncharacterized. Lineage: Eukaryota; Metazoa; Chordata; Aves; Accipitriformes; Accipitridae. The record is from RefSeq and is a predicted model, not a curated record. The transcript has 3 exons.
GAAAGGUGUGUUGUGCAAGCGCAUAGGAGCUUUCAGAUGGCAAAGUCCACCUCCGAGCUGGCCAAGGGAAGCGUUGGGGGUGGAUAAAUGAAAAGGCUCCUGACGGGGACGCCGAAAGCUGGGACGUGGCGGCGCUGCCACUCUCCGCAGAGUGGGAUGUCCCUGGGGAGACAGCACAAGUUAUUCCUGACAGCUCCUCGCCCUGUAAUUGUUCCCCGAGCAGGCAGAUGGCAUCAGGAGACACCGCAGUGUCCCAGGACGUCGCCUCCUGCUCCGGUCCCCUCAGAAGAACCCGUGGCCGCAGCCUCCAUGUGCAGUUUGAAUUUGGAGCUCGGAGCCGUGCUGCGCCUGGAGCCAACCCAGCUGGCUGAGAGACGUCACCGCGAUUAUUUCAGUUAACUCGAUUUACUGCUAUUACUGUCAGCCGGACCUAACGACCCGACACGGAGCAGCAGCCCUUAGAGGACCCAUUUCUAAUUAAUUUUAGCUCAUAAACUAAUUAAUGGA